GACGAACGCUGGCGGCGUGCUUAACACAUGCAAGUCGAACGGAAAGGCCCUGCUUGCAGGGUACUCGAGUGGCGAACGGGUGAGUAACACGUGGGUGAUCUGCCCUGCACUUCGGGAUAAGCCUGGGAAACUGGGUCUAAUACCGGAUAGGAGCCAUUUUUAGUGUGAUGGUUGGAAAGUUUUUUCGGUGUAGGAUGAGCUCGCGGCCUAUCAGCUUGUUGGUGGGGUAAUGGCCUACCAAGGCGGCGACGGGUAGCCGGCCUGCGAGGGUGGACGGCCACAUUGGGACUGAGGUACGGCCCAGACUCCUACGGGAGGCAGCAGUGGGGAAUAUUGCACAAUGGGCGCAAGCCUGAUGCAGCGACGCCGCGUGGGGGAUGACGGCCUUCGGGUUGUAAACUCCUUUCGCUAGGGACGAAGCUUUUUGUGACGGUACCUAGAUAAGAAGCACCGGCUAACUACGUG
This 465-nucleotide ribosomal RNA is filed under the name uncultured bacterium. RNAcentral describes it as "partial 16S ribosomal RNA". It matches the Rfam family "Bacterial small subunit ribosomal RNA", at positions 28 to 507 of the family's 1533-position model. The record is from RNAcentral.